RNAcentral lists this non-coding RNA (89 nucleotides) under Enterobacter hormaechei. Lineage: Bacteria; Pseudomonadati; Pseudomonadota; Gammaproteobacteria; Enterobacterales; Enterobacteriaceae. The record is from RNAcentral. RNAcentral also lists the same sequence under 1 other name.
UCCAAUGGUGGGCCAGGCGGGGGCGUCGCAAGACGCGCCGGUAGCUGAUGAGGCCGGUAAGGCUAACCCUGUCUGGUUCCACCACCCGU